GACGAACGCUGGCGGCGUGCUUAACACAUGCAAGUCGAACGAUGAAGACCGGUGCUUGCACUGGUUGGAUUAGUGGCAAACGGGUGAGUAAUACGUGAGUAACCUGCCUUUGACUCUGGGAUAAGCCUUGGAAACGAGGUCUAAUACCGGAUACGACUAACCUUCGCAUGAAUUGUUAGUGGAAAGGUUUUGUACUGGUUUUAGAUGGGCUCACGGCCUAUCAGGUUGUUGGUGAGGUAAUGGCUCACCCAGGCGACCACUGGUAGCCGGCCUGAGAGGGUGACCGGCCACACUGGGACUGACACACGGCCCAUACUCCUACGGGAGGCAGCCGUGGGGAAUAUUGCACAAUGGGCGCAAGCCUGAUGCAGCGACGCCGCGUGAGGGAUGACGGCCUUCGGGUUGUAAACCUCUUUCAGCUGGGGAGAAGCGAAAGUGACGGUACCUGCAGAAGAAGCGCCGGCUAACUACGUGCCAGCAGCCGCGUUAAUACGUAGGGCGCGAGCGUUGGCGGGAAUUAUUGGGCGUAAAGAGCUUGUAGACGGUUUGUCGCGUCUGCUGUGAAGCCCGGGGCUUAACUCCGGGUUUGCAGUGGGUACGGGCUAACUAGAGUGCAGUAGGGGAGACUGGAAUUCCUGGUGUAGCGGUGGAAUGCGCAGAUAUCAGGAGGAACACCGAUGGCGAAGGCAGGUCUCUGGGCUGUAACUGACGCUGAGAAGCGAAAGCAUGGGGAGCGAACAGGAUUAGAUACCCUGGUAGUCCAUGCCGUAAACGUUGGGCACUAGGUGUGGGGGACAUUCCACGUUUUCCGCGCCGUAGCUAACGCAUUAAGUGCCCCGCCUGGGGAGUACGGCCGCAAGGCUAAAACUCAAAGAAAUUGACGGGGGCCCGCACAAGCGGCGGAGCAUGCGGAUUAAUUCGAUGCAACGCGAAGAACCUUACCAAGGCUUGACAUAUACUGGACUCCCCUAGAGAUAGGGUUUCCCUUCGGGGCUGGUAUACAGGUGGUGCAUGGUUGUCGUCAGCUCGUGUCGUGAGAUGUUGGGUUAAGUCCCGCAACGAGCGCAACCCUCGUUCUAUGUUGCCAGCACGUGAUGGUGGGGACUCAUAGGAGACUGCCGGGGUCAACUCGGAGGAAGGUGGGGAUGACGUCAAAUCAUCAUGCCCCUUAUGUCUUGGGCUUCACGCAUGCUACAAUGGCCGGUACAAAGGGUUGCGAUACUGUGAGGUUGAGCUAAUCCCAAAAAGCCGGUCUCAGUUCGGAUUGGGGUCUGCAACUCGACCCCAUGAAGUCGGAGUCGCUAGUAAUCGCAGAUCAGCAACGCUGCGGUGAAUACGUUCCCGGGCCU
RNAcentral lists this ribosomal RNA (1349 nucleotides) under uncultured bacterium. RNAcentral's name for it is "bacterial SSU rRNA". It matches the Rfam family "Bacterial small subunit ribosomal RNA", at positions 28 to 1381 of the family's 1533-position model. The record is from RNAcentral.